AAAAUAGAGACUCAUCUUUCUGAAAAAUAAUUUAUUUUAGAACCCCCCCAUACAUGUCAGAUGCACUCAGUGACCUCAUAACAGCACCAGUUACAUUUACCCCAUAAUAACCACAGUGCCUCCAUAAUUACCAACCUGUCAGCCAAAUUGACCUUAUAUUUGUAGUUCCGUGUUAGCCAGAGCGCUCCCAUAAGUGCAGCCACAGCAACUACAGUGACCACAUAAAUAGCAGCCAUAGUGUCCCUAUACAUGACAGUCACAAUGCCCCGACGUAUGGGUCACAGGGUUCCCAUAAGUUCACGCUUUGAUCGGUCAUGAGAGGGGAUCGGUUUAAAGUAAUCGCCUCAAACUCUAAUGUACUUUCUAUAAAUCACAUGAUUGCUAUGGAGCCCGUGAUCCUGUACCCACUACAAGGAGGAGUUCACUGUAUACAGAUUUCUAUAGCAUUGAGUACACUACUAGUAGUGGUGGCUGGAUAAAUCUAUAUGUAGUGUGUACAGCUCCCUCUAAUGGUGACUGUACACAAUUGUAUCUAGUGAGCUCCCCCUAGUGGUGACUGUACACAAUUGUAUCUAGUGAGCUCCCCCUAGUGGUGACUGUACACAAUUGUAUCUAGUGAGCUCCCCCUAGUGGUGACUGUACACAAUCGUAUCUAGUGAGAUCCCCCUAGUGGUGACUGUACACAAUCGUAUCUAGUGAGCUCCCCCUAGUGGUGACUGUACACAAUCAUAUCUAGUGAGCUCCCCCUAGUGGUGACUGUACACAAUCGUAUAUAGUGAGCUCCCCCUAGUGGUGACUGUACACAAUCGUAUCUAGUUAGAUCCCCCUAGUGGUGACUGUACACAAUCAUAUCUAAUGAGAUCCCCUAGAGGUGACUGUACACAAUCAUAUCUAGUGAGAUCCCCUAGUGGUGACUGUACACAAUCAUAUCUAGUGAGAUCCCCUAGUGGUGACUGUACACAAUCGUAUCUAGUGAGCUCCCCCUAGUGGUGACUGUACACAAUCGUAUAUAGUGAGCUCCCCCUAGUGGUGACUGUACACAAUCGUAUCUAGUGAGCUCCCCCUAGUGGUGACUGUACACAAUCGUAUCUA
Molecule: long non-coding RNA, 1092 nt
Organism: Bufo bufo (common toad)
Lineage: Eukaryota; Metazoa; Chordata; Amphibia; Anura; Bufonidae
Exons: 3
Source: RefSeq, a predicted model, not a curated record